GCUCAGCCCUGCCCUCAGCAGAGCCCUGCCCUCAGCUCCCGGCCGACCGCGGGCGUGCGGGCUGCAGCGGGGGGACGAACCGCUCGCUGGCUCCGUGCGGGUGCGCUGAGCAAAGCCUAAGUGAGCCUCUGCUGCUCCGUGUGUUCGCACGGGCCUUGCCGGGUUCUAAAUAUGAAGCGCUGAUUGCGCUGUGUCCCGUGCUUUCUUCACCCGUACUUUCUAUUGUCCCUGCGUCGGGAACCUUUUGGGUGAGUGGGAAAGCUAUGAGAAAUUCUGCGCUAAGCUGGUGCAGAAGUCGUGUGGCAGCAUGGAAACAGCUUGGGCUCAGUGAUGCCCUUCUUAGUGGGGGGAAUGGUGUGCUCGUGUGAGCUCCAGGCAGGGGCUGCUGCUGAUGCAGAUGUGGCAGAGCCCAGAGGAGGCACAAACACACACCUCUUGUUUGACUUGAGCACUGAUCCUGCAGCAAUUAAGGGAUGGAUAUCAGUAAUUUUGUAGGCAGGUGUCCGUUAGGAGAAGGGGGUUUAAAAAUAAAUAAAUAAAUAAAAAUAAAAAUCAAAGUUUUGGCGCAUCUUAAUUAACUUGUCAGUCUAGUUAACAGAUAACCAAACCUGCAGGAACUCUGCAGAGCUGAAACAACAACACUUAACGAGAACUUACUGUGGGAUUGCAGCUGACUUGAAAAUGUAGCUCAGAGAGAACAGAAGACAAAGCUGAUAAGAAGGUGGAAGGAUUGCAACAGCCUGCGAAGCCAUCUGCUCCAACAAACGUUCAUGGCAAAAGGAGGGAAGGAUGUAUCUAGCAGCAACCAGCAGCAGCUGUUUGAGAGGCAAAGCCAAAAGAAGGGCAGUAUCUCCUGUGCUCUGGUUUGACUCCAUUUACCGUUAAGCUGAGAUAACUUGCUGCCAAAGUCUCAAGUAGCAGGCCAUCCAGCCUAGCAAAACACAGAGGCCCCAAACAAAAGGCAAGUACUCUCAGCAUUGAUUUUGAUGCUUGCCAAUUUGAUGCUGCCUCUUCUAGGCCAAAAUCUCAAGUGCCUGCAUGCUGCCACCUGAGAAGACAUUUUCUAAGAUCUCCGUGCUGCGCCAGCCCUGCCUGAUGAAGUUCAGAGGUAAGACAGGUGACUGCUUAGCUGGAGUGGUACAAUGAAGGAUCAGGGCAUGUGUUAAUGGAAGUCAGAGGUUAUUUAAUUGGAAGCCUAACUUAAUCAGUAUGUGUGUCUAGACAUUGAAAUAGAAACAAGGUCUACCCAUAUUCUAGGGAUUGUGCACUAGGCAUAGAAUUAUUUAUAAAAGGACUGUUUUACAGGAUUAAUAAGAUGAUAUAUUAAAUUCCAUCUUCUUGACAUUCAUACAGUCAGGUCAGAUUUGGUGUUUUUUUUCUUUGACUUUAGGUUAGUUAACUGUCAAGACUCAAAUUUCAAACACAUGUAAAUUGUGCUGUAUCCUAGUUACUGUUCUCUGAGUGCUUAUUUUUAACCAGGCACCGAAACUUCUAAAAUUCAAGCUGUUAGUUAGGUGACACUGCAUGGCCAGUAAUUAAUGUCAGUAUAUCAGACUUUCACUGUCUGCUUCAUAUUUAAAGUUAAUGCUUCUGGUCCCCCGAGGACAAGACAAUAUGUGAAAUGCAAGGGAAGAAAGAUACCACAGAGAUUUAGUCCCUUAAGAAGGCAAGUUCAUUUAUGCUAUGGGCAAAAACAAUGUUUCUAAGCAUUUUCUCCAGUAUUGCCCUUGGUGUCUGAAAGUCAGUUCUCAGCACACUAAGACAAGGUGCACAGUGAAGUCUGAAUGUACCUAUUUUCUUCUUGGUGAUUGCUAUACACAGUCAGUAUACUUUUGGCAUUUCUAUCUUGAGUUUGUGAUCCAUUUAAUACACACCUGGUUUGUUUGUAACUUCAUGAAGCUGAUAUCAAAGAGAUAGGAAUCGAGGGGACAGCAUGAAGUAAAGAAUAAUAAAAGUAUUUUGUAUCCAUAUGUUCCCUGGUAGAGAUUCAGAGGAGGAAUAGCACUAUUUUUUAUUUUUUAAGAAAUGACAAACUGUAUGCAGGUUACAGCUGUUAGCAUUGCACAACUAAUGAAGUUAAUCCUUUCUUCUGCUCACCACACAAACGUGAUCCUAUCACAGUGUUUUACAGACUCAGUAUCUGCAGGAGUUAAGAUUUCAUUGAUUCACUCCUGAACUUAACCAUUCUUACUGUAAUUUCCUCCCUCCCCCAACGUCUUGUUGGAAUUUCCCUUGUUAUGACUUGCAGUUGUUGCCUCUUGUCCUUUCUCAGUGAACUUGCAGGAAGAAUCUGGCACCUUUUCUAUAGGUGUGUUUAAAGUAAUUGAAGACAGCAAUUGCAUAAUCCCUCAGCCUUUCCUUGCCCGCGCUUGGACAAGCCCAGUUCUCACCCCCGAGGCAGUGCAUGCCAUCAGCUUGACUUUCACCAUAACACUGUGUAAGGAACUUGCAGAUACUGUUUCCUUGAACCAUAUAUGAGGAACCCUUCUGAUGCCCACAGGUGGGUCUGUGGUUGCAGGAACUUCUUACCUUAACAGCCAUCUACAGGACAGCAGUUCUGCAAGGGGAAGGUUACCCUCUGUGACUUAGGUCUGAUUUCAUUCCAGUGCACAGAGAGUUAACAUCUUUUGUGAGCUAUUAGGUAUAUAUAAGAGGAAGUAAAGCACCAGCAUUUGUAAUCAGUUAUUUUGAAUGCCAUUCGUUCCCAGUGGACAUUCCUGAAAGGCAGUUCUUGCCAGCAUGUCAACUGGAUGCCUUUUCUCUGAAAUGCUGGAGUUCCCCCCAGCCUUUGCCAAACAAGCCUUUACGACCUGGAAAGUCCCCAGCAUGGGGUGUGCUAGGGUGAGACCUUGGUGCCCCUGCUCUUUCUUGGAAGCUGCAAGCGUUGGAGCAUCCUAGUGCUCAUCAGGCCAGCGUUGCUGGCUGCUGGAUAAAUGCAUGAGUUAAUUCUCUCUUCGAUCUUUACUAGCAGCUUUCAUACAGCAUUCCAUAGACUCCACAGCCCUAUUAAAUUCCCUGUGACAAUUACAAGAAUUUGCCUUCUGGAAAGACUAAUUCAUGCAAGAGCUUUAAUGAGUGUUUUUCCCCCUCCCUGUAGAUCUGUGCUUAAAAAUCCUCUCUCAUGCUGAUACAAAAACACAGUUGCAGAUUAUAUCUUUAAAAAUACAGUUAUGUUAGCGUGCGUCGCAGGACUGAGUCUCUUAUCAAGCUGGUAAUGAAUUCACUGUUUGCUGCUAAAUGAAUGCUCUGAUUAUUUUUCAAUGCAUUGCAUUACAUACAUUUGCAAUUCCAUUCUUAGUGAGGCUCUGUUGGAAAAUGUGCUGAUAUGAAAAAAAUUAUUUUCAUGUUCUGCUAUCAUUUAGGAGUAAAUGGAGUGCUAUCUUCCAUUUUUUUGUAUAACACUGUAGACUAGCCAUCUGCUCUAGUCACUGCUUUCAUUACUAACAGGAGAAUUUAUUUUUAGGUUCACAUAGUGUGUAAUGCUCGUAUAUUGAUGCUGAUCCUCAGUGUAUGCUUAAAAAAUUAGCUGUUCUUUAUUAUUUAUGAAAAAAACAACUAUUCAAGAAUAACAGAAGGAAAGCAUAAACAAACUAUCCUUGUUUGAGGAAAAAUCAUGGUUUUGCUUCGUAAGCUACUUUACUAGCAGCCUAGUGAAGCUGUUCAUGCUUGAGGCAUUUACAGCUCAAGGAAUCCUCAGAAACAUGAGUGAGUCAUCAAAUUAUUCCUCGUUGCUGCUUAGGGAGCUGAAACAAUGAUCAGCCACCUAGUAAUAAAGGAACACUGUGCUGCUGAUUAUAGGUUAUUGUAUGAGUUAUCAGUGUGACCUCAAUAUUUCACUGAGAUGCAAAUUUUUAAUUACUAAUCUAGACUGGGUUGAUUUUUCUUUUCUUGCCGGUCUUGAGACGUUGUAAUGGGGUGUAAUUUUUCAAAAGAUAUGUUUGUAGCAUAGUGUUAGUGCUAUCCUGCUCAAGUGUUCCGAGCAAGACAAAUGGAAGUACUUCAAAUCAUAAGUCACCAGUAAUGAGGGUGCUUGUGGCUCUACUGCGAGAGGUUAAACAACGUUGUUCAGCGGUUGGCAUUCUGGUUAGGAUAUCAGACAGCGCUGUGGCCCUGUGAUAUUUGUGGUGCAGAUGAUACGAAGCGUUUUAAAUAAUGUGUAGAACAGCUAACAGUAUGUUCGUGUAACAUUGCAGCUGUCAUAGUGGUAAAUCAGUUUUGGUACCUGAUUCUUGCUUAGCGUUAAGGUUAACAAAAACAACUUUUUAAAGAAGAAAGCUCAAAAGCCAUCUUGCGGUGCAAGCAUACUUCUCAAAACACAGUUCAUUUAUGCUAGUCUUUUAAUUGACUGUAAAGCAUAAUUAAACUGCACCUUAAAUGUAUACGGAGCUGCUCUCUUCUUAAAGGUAAGGUCUUAGGAGUAGCAGAUCACAUUUUUUCAAGAAAUAAGCCUGAGAAUCACUAUCUCAAAAUCAGAACUGUGUCUUUCAGCACAUACUCUACUUGUCAAAACUGAUUUUAUGUAUCCUUGAGUGAAGAGUUCUCUCUCUCUCUCUCUUUUUUUCCCCUCACAACCUUGUCCUAUUUUCCCAUUUUUAUUUUCUGCUUUAAUUUCUUCCUAUUAAUUUUCCCUCUUCCCCUCCUUGUGUUCAUUACCUUCCAAUAUGUAUGACCGAGUAUCACUGCUUUUAUAUAUCUUCUAGCCUGACUUGUGAUUUCACUUUGAUUGCCACAACUGUAGGGGCACUUUAAAUUAACCUAAUGCAUAUCAUCAUUGGAAUUGUCAGUGUUACCAUAUAAAAUACGGUGUUGUCUCCCCUUGGCAUACAGAUCAGUUAGCAUUCAGUGUUGAUUCUAUGCAUCUUAGAGGACCAUUUAAUAGUUAUAUAGGAAUCACAGGAUCAUUAAGGUUGAAGAAAACCCAGUAAGUCCAUCAGGUCCAACUGCCAUCCCCUCCCCACCAUGCCCUCUGAACCAUGUCCCUGAGUGCCAUGUCUACUCCAGUAAAUAGUCUCCACAAAAUUGUGCUGUGUUUUUACAGCUGGAAGAAGUAAGUUCUCGUCACAAUUAGUGAAGUUCAUUCCAGUGCUAUAAUCAUACUAUGUGCCUUUAAAUAAAAUUUAAAACUGUGAAUAAUAAAACAAAUUUCAUAUAUCUUAACUGCUGUGUUAUGUGCAGUUUCCUGUACCAUCAGCGCGGCUGAUUCCAGCAUUUGGAUUUUAAGUCGUAAGCUUAGCCUCUGUGUUUGUGCAUAUUCACCAUCUUGGUAUUUUAUAUGUAAAUCUCAGGAUUUCACUACCAUGCAUAUUCCCCUGCAAGUACUUCUCUGCCACAGUGCAAAUCUCUGUGAGCAUAGCCUUGAUGAAUUUUUACAGAUAGUUUUAUUCCAGUUGCAUGGCUAAGACAUUUCGUGUAUGUGUGCCAAGCUGUCAAAGCUGCAAGGAUCUAAAUGAGGCCAGAGCUGCCACCCUUAGGAAACAGAGAACACAGAGAUUUGAGGGCAUGAUGCUCGAGAGCUGUAAUAUCUUGCUGCAGUGUAGUUUAGGUUUCUUACUGAAGGACUGGAAUGCUUAAGGAAUGAGCGCGAGUCCAACGUAACUGGAUAUUGUGAGGUUUAUUUCUGUGAACAAAGAGCAAAACUGUGCCAGUUUGUUUAGGGCAGAACUGGAAGAAUGUCAGGCAUACUGCUAAGGGUGCAUCUUUUUUGUCUGAAAGGAUAAAACCUACUCAUUAUUAGUGCAAUAAUGAAGGUGCUAGAGCAGUCCAGUUGUAAAUGAGUUACACCCUUUGCGGUUUUGCUAAUUCUCAGUGUGCUGUGAUCCCUCGGUGUGCAUGCACCAUCUCAACUGUCUCACUGAAUGCUAAUGAGCUUCUACCGAAAGUAAUCACAGAAAGACAUCUCUUCCACAUCAACACCUAUUACCAGCUCCAAAAUUGGUUUGUUAAGCUUACUGGGGAUAUGCCUAUAGCUGUGUAGCUGCCUGUAAAAACUGGAAGUCACAGCAGGCUCUGUGAAAUAGAGCAGUAAGAUGGACUUAAGGACUAUCAUGUCGUGCCCUACCAGGGAGAUGUCUGAGUAUUUACCAAAUACAUUGCAGCUAUCCCUAAGGCGGUGUAAAGACAAGGUAAAAACGAAGGAACAAACUGCAUAUGGAAGUCCAUAUAUUAACAACACAGUUCCUAUAAUUAGAGGCAGGCAGGAAGCAAUAUAUUAAGAACACACUUAUAUCUAGCAGUGCCUUAGAUCAGCUCUGAGAUUUUCUCUGCUUCCUCCAGCAAUCCAGCUGACAGAUGGUGUCAUAGCUUUGUGGCUGAGAUCCAGAAGUGAAAUGCAUGUCUUGGGUUUAGCUAUCACUAAAGGGAAUCUUGAGUUGGAAUGUGUGUACCCAAGCUGUCCCCAGCUUUUCAUUCAGGCCUUUCUCUUCCAAGAAUUUCCUGUGAUUGGUAACUUUGGGUUCACAACUCAUUUUAGUACUCCUCCUAGGGUUUAGCAUAUCUCAACACUGUCUUUAGAAAUGCUUUUUUCCUUAGAUGGAGUAAGCUGGAGUCAUCUUCUGCCUGUUUGAAAAAUGGGGUUUCUUAAUUAUUCUCCUGGUACAUCAGUAGAAAGAAGUCACAAACCUGCAGUUUACCUAUUGGAAAUAUUUCCUCUAUUUUGAUGUGUUCUUUACACAGUGAAACUUCUUCCAUGUAAGUUGCCAACUCUGUCUUUUAUGAAACUACAAGUAAGCAUGUGAUUUAUUACUAUUUCUUGUUCAGGAUUAAGACACAGUCAUAAUCAUACACAUCCAGGAUGAGUAUAAGCUUAAAAGGAAUUAGGUUAGGAAGAAAUUCUUUACUCAGAGGGUGGUGAAGCCCUGGCACAGGCUGCUCAGAAAAGCCCCAUCCCUGGCGGCAUCCAAGGCCAGGUUGGAUGGGGCUUUGGGCAGCCUGAUUUACUGGGUAGCAACCAUCCCACAGCAGGGUGCUGGAACUGGAUGGGCUGUAAGGUCCCUUCCAACCUAAGCCAUUCUAUGGUAUCAACUUUGGCAUUGGGGAGUCUGUGAUAACAACAGCUGCUUUGCAAGAGCUGGAUUAAUAUACUUGUUGGGAAUCAUCUGAAUCAGCUUUAUAGCUUUUGAUAAAAGCUUCUGUUUUGUUACAGUUCAUUCUUUCAUUGUGCAAUGCAUUUCACAGUUCACAUCCAUCUGCAAAUGUAUUUUUUU
Lagopus muta (rock ptarmigan) is the source of this 7202-nucleotide long non-coding RNA. RefSeq lists it as uncharacterized. The transcript has 3 exons. The record is from RefSeq and is a predicted model, not a curated record. NCBI's taxonomy places the organism in Eukaryota, Metazoa, Chordata, Aves, Galliformes, Phasianidae.